CCCUUAGCUGUUCUGGGCCGCACGCGCGCUACAAUGAUGAAUUCAACGAGUUUAUAACCUUGGUUGAAAAGCCUGGGUAAUCUUUUGAACUUUCGUCGUGAUGGGGCUAGACCCUUGCAAUUAUUGGUCUCCAACGAGGAAUUCCUAGUAAACGCAAGUCAUCAGCUUGCAUUGAUUACGUCCCUGCCCUUUGUACACACCGCCCGUCGCACCUACCGAUUGAAUGGUCCGGUGAAAUCUUCGGAUUGAGACUUUGAUUUCUUCACGGAAAACGCUGUUUUAAAAAGUUGAUUAAACCUUACCAUUUAGAGGAAGGUGAAGUCGUAACA
Molecule: ribosomal RNA, 329 nt
Filed under: uncultured eukaryote
Lineage: Eukaryota
Description: partial 18S ribosomal RNA
Rfam family: Eukaryotic small subunit ribosomal RNA
Source: RNAcentral